This 232-nucleotide ribosomal RNA is filed under the name uncultured bacterium. RNAcentral's name for it is "partial 16S ribosomal RNA". It matches the Rfam family "Bacterial small subunit ribosomal RNA", at positions 99 to 334 of the family's 1533-position model. The record is from RNAcentral.
CGGACGGGUGAGUAAUGCUUGGGAAUCUGGCUUAUGGAGGGGGGUAACUACGGGAAACUGUAGCUAAUACCGCAUAAUAUCGAAAGAUUAAAGGGUGGGACUUUCGGGCCACCUGCCAUGAGAUGAGCCCAAGUGGGAUUAGGUAGUUGGUUAGGUAAAGGCUGACCAAGCCGACGAUCUCUAGCUGGUCUGAGAGGAUGACCAGCCACACUGGAACUGAGACACGGUCCAG